AAUCUGCCCAUUGGUCUGGGAUAACUUCUCGAAAGGGGAGCUAAUACCGGAUAAGCCCACAGAGACUUCGGUCACGGUGGGAAAAGAUGACCUCUUCUAUGUUAUCGCCAUUGGAUGAGUCCGCGGCCCAUUAGCUAGUUGGUAGGGUAAUGGCCUACCAGGCUACGAUGGGUAGCUGGUCUGAGAGGAUGAUCAGCCACACUGGAACUGAGACACGGUCCAG
RNAcentral lists this ribosomal RNA (223 nucleotides) under uncultured bacterium. RNAcentral's name for it is "partial 16S ribosomal RNA". It matches the Rfam family "Bacterial small subunit ribosomal RNA", at positions 123 to 334 of the family's 1533-position model. The record is from RNAcentral.